This 1603-nucleotide long non-coding RNA is filed under the name Triticum aestivum (bread wheat). RNAcentral's name for it is "long non-coding RNA (TAES_LNC007541)". Lineage: Eukaryota; Viridiplantae; Streptophyta; Magnoliopsida; Poales; Poaceae. The record is from RNAcentral.
CCUGCCGCCCGGAUUCUUGGGAUCCAGUUGUCACGCCUAAUUUCGGUAAUGUACACAAACUUUUUGGCCUCUAGACCUUAUUUCUUAAGUGAAUGGAUACUGGUGUGGAUCCUUUCUGAAUGGAUACUGGUGUGGAUCCUUUCUGAAUGGAUACUGGUGUGGAUGUGUCUUUCUGAAUGAAUGUGCACUUUUAAUUAAUUUCCUUCUGAAUAGAGACUACAGUCAUCUGAAUGGCUGAUUAGCUUUCGGUUUGUGAAACGGAAUUCGGUUCUUGCUGUGGCUAUGUUUUGUCCAGAAUGCUAGAUGCAAGCCCACGUGGUUAGAGCAUGUCUAGCCAUUCCCUCAAAUCUUUAUAACAAGAGGCAAAUUGUGUCCUGAAUUUUUCUGUGAGCGACCCAUUUGCCUUCACCAGCCGGGUGUUGGGGACGUGUUCUUGUUGGUCAGUAUCGAUCAUUGGUGUUUUACCUUGACACUUGUUUUGGUCCUGACCUGUUUUGCUCUGCUUUUGAAAUACUUGCGAGCUGAUCCGCCCCGUGGUCUCUGCUUCAUUCUGUGUAUUAAGUGGUCUUCUUGAUAUUUAUCAAUUGUUAUGCCUCAUAUCACCACUUUUUGAGCUGGAGAAUUGAUUCGUUAUACUGUAUCAUAAUAAAUGAUAUGCUACUAUAUUAUAGUACUAACACUUGGAUUAGUGAGAGAGAGAGAAACGUACAUAUUUCUGUGAGAUCUCUGUGAUGAGUAGUCGGAUCACUACUACAUGUUUCUGUGACAUAGUACAACAGUGUACAUGAUGCAAUCAAAAUGAACAUGCUUUCACAGGAACAUGCAUUCCGGAGUGUACAGGAUAGGAUGGCCUUGUGCUAUCUACUCCCUCUGUUCUCAACUUAGAUAUGUUCUUAUUUUGAUAGAAUCCUGCCGCUUGGAUAUCUUCUUAUUUUAAGAGUAAAUUUAUUCCAGGGCCAAAGACUUGUACAUGUUCAGUUUAGUACUGUAUUGAACUAGUUUUGCUUUGACAAUUGUGGCUGGCUGAUGUAUCUCUGCUGCUGACUCUGCUUAUCUGCAAGUAGAAGUAGUAGUAGUAGUUUCUGUGGUACUACUAUAUGUAUCUCUGCAUUUGUAUUUUAUUAUCUGCAAGUAGUAGGGCUUGUUUUACAUGUAUUAUGCUUAGUUGAUUACUAUGUUCCGGCGAUACUUGACGAAAUCUAUUAUUAUGCUUUCAUAUGUAUUACUCCCUCUGUAAAUAGAACUAAUGUUCAUCUAGCAAAGCUAUUUGCUGUAACAGUUUUUCUCAAGGCACUCUAAUAUUCAUCUCUUUUUGUUUCAUUAGGUUCUCAAGCACCAAAAGAAGGCACAAUAAACAAGCCGAAUGGAUAAAUUUCUCCCAGGUUCUCAAUGCUAGAUGACCAUGACACCAAGAGAUGGAUACAUUUGUUUGCAUUAUCUUUGUUGCAAAAUGAUGUUGUGGCUGUGAUGAACUGUUUGCUGUGAAAGAUUAUGUUGUUAUGAUAAAUUAUGAAUGCUGGGAUUUGGGAUUCAAAGAUUAUGAUAAAUUAUGUUGUUGCCGUGAUGAGAUAUUGCUUUCAAGUCAUGCAAAUUUAUGUUGUUG